RNAcentral lists this unclassified non-coding RNA (259 nucleotides) under Hevea brasiliensis (rubber tree). The record is from RNAcentral. Lineage: Eukaryota; Viridiplantae; Streptophyta; Magnoliopsida; Malpighiales; Euphorbiaceae.
AAUUUUAAUUAGUUUGAGUUUUAGUUUCCUAGUAUUUCAAUUUUCAAGGUAUUUUUAGUAAUUUUAGGAUUCCAACAUGUACUUCCUGGAGGAUAACAUCAAAUUCAAUAAACUUUCAGUUCUUACUCACUAGUGGCCUCUAGAAUUUAUUUUCCUAGUGGAUUCAAGGAUAUGUGAGGUUUACAUGUUCUAAUCCUUGUUAUGCAUCCAUCCUACAUCACUGGAUCAGCAUUGCACAAUUCAACAGAAAACUACACGU